RNAcentral lists this ribosomal RNA (497 nucleotides) under uncultured bacterium. Its description in RNAcentral is "partial 16S ribosomal RNA". It matches the Rfam family "Bacterial small subunit ribosomal RNA", at positions 28 to 507 of the family's 1533-position model. The record is from RNAcentral.
GAUGAACGCUGGCGGCGUGCCUAAUACAUGCAAGUCGAGCGAACGGACGAGAAGCUUGCUUUUCUGAUGUUAGCGGCGGACGGGUGAGUAACACGUGGAUAACCUACCUAUAAGACUGGGAUAACUUCGGGAAACCGGAGCUAAUACCGGAUAAUAUUUUGAACCGCAUGGUUCAAAAGUGAAAGACGGUCUUGCUGUCACUUAUAGAUGGAUCCGCGCUGCAUUAGCUAGUUGGUAAGGUAACGGCUUACCAAGGCAACGAUGCAUAGCCGACCUGAGAGGGUGGUCGGCCACACUGGAACUGAGACACGGUCCAGACUCCUACGGGAGGCAGCAGUAGGGAAUCUUCCGCAAUGGGCGAAAGCCUGACGGAGCAACGCCGCGUGAGUGAUGAAGGUCUUCGGAUCGUAAAACUCUGUUAUGAGGGAAGAACAUAUGUGUAAGUAACUGUGCACAUCUUGACGGUACCUAAUCAGAAAGCAACGGCUAACUACGUG